Molecule: non-coding RNA, 490 nt
Organism: Pelobates cultripes (western spadefoot toad)
Lineage: Eukaryota; Metazoa; Chordata; Amphibia; Anura; Pelobatidae
Source: the annotation of a GenBank genome assembly
UUCCAUACACCAUAGUAUUAGAGGGGAUAAAUUCCAUACACCAUAGUAUUAGGGGUGAUAAAUUCCAUACACCAUAGUAUUAGGGGGGAUAAAUUCCAUACACCAUAGUAUUAGAGGGGAUAAAUUCCAUACACCAUAGUAUUAGAGGGGAUAAAUUCCAUACACCAUAGUAUUAGAGGGGAUAAAUUCCAUACACCAUAGUAUUAGGGGGGAUAAAUUCCAUACACCAUAGUAUUAGGGGGGAUAAAUUCCAUACACCAUAGUAUUAGGGGGGGGAUAAAUUCCAUACACCACAGUAUUAGUGGGGGGAUAAAUUCCAUACACCACAGUAUUAGAGGGGGGAUAAAUUCCAUACACCACAGUAUUAGAGGGGAUGAAUUACAUACACCAUGUGUGACGGUUACCGCUAUAGAGUGAGGGUAUCUACCGUCUGGACAACCUUCUUCCCAUAGAUAGAGAGCACUGCCAACCCGAUAUCCUUUAGAGCUAG